Molecule: ribosomal RNA, 2214 nt
Filed under: Triticum aestivum (bread wheat)
Lineage: Eukaryota; Viridiplantae; Streptophyta; Magnoliopsida; Poales; Poaceae
Description: partial small subunit ribosomal RNA
Source: RNAcentral
AUGCAGUGCCGCCGCCGCCUCGCCCCCCUCCUCCGCGCGCCGUCGCCCAAAACCCUCCUCCCCCGCCUCCUCUCCCGCCUCGUCUCCUCCUCCUCCCCCUCCUCCCCGCCGCCCUCUAGGGGCGGCGGGGAUGAAGCCGGGGACGGCAGCGUCGCCGGGGUGGCGGUGAAGCAGGUGACGCGGGGGAACCUGGCGGAGGCGCUGGAGGAGCUGCGGGCGCGGGUGCGCGACGCCGCGUUCGUCGGGAUUGACCUGGAGAUGAGCGGCGUCACCAGUGCACCGUGGCGGGACACCUUCGAGCUCGACCGCGCCGACGUCCGGUACCUCAAGCUCCGCGACUCCGCCAAGCGCUUCGCCGUGUUGCAGCUCGGCGUCUGCCCCUUCCGCUGGGACCCCGCCAAAUCCGCCUUCGUUGCCCAUCCGCAUAACUUUUUUAUCUUCCCUCGCAAGGAGCUUCCAUAUGACAGUUCAUCUCACGAAUUUCUCUGUCAGACCACUUCACUUGACUUCCUAGCAAAACACCAGUUUGAUUUCAACACGUGCUUCCAUGAAGGAAUAUCUUAUUUAUCCAGAGCACAAGAAGAAGAGGCUCUUCAGAAACUAAAUGUACUGCAUCAUGAUGGAAUAUCUGCAUUUCCAAAUACUUCUAAACAGGAAGAAGAUGUGCAGUUAAAGAGUACUGCUGAUCUUCUUUUCUCAGAGAGAAUGAAGAUCAGAUUUAAUGAGUGGCGUGAUGCGAUAAGCGCCAACCCCAGGGUGGAUAACCAUAAGUUAGGAAGCAAUAAAUUCACCACAGACCAAUUUCAGACAGUUUUCUUCAAAAUGCGCCCAGCUAUUAUGCUUGAUGGGUUUACAUCACAUCAAUUAAAGUUAAUUCAACAGGUUUUGAGAAAAAACUUUAGAGACCUCAUGUAUGUUUGUACAUUUGGCGAGGAUGAAACAUCAGAAAGGAGAGUAGUUUAUACAGACAACAACGAAGACAGUAUAUUAUUGAUGAAAGAUGUGCAAGAAGAUCUAUUCAGAAGAAGAAAAGCAAAAGUGGAAUCAGCAAUAGGAAUCCGCCAUGUCAUUGAUCUUAUUGCCUCAGAAAGAAAAUUGAUUGUUGGUCACAGUUGUUUCCUAGAUAUUGCACAAGUCUACUCCAAAUUUAUUGGGCCUCUUCCCUCAUCCAUUAAGGAAUUUGCCUUGGCUAUCAACAGAAUUUUCCCACAUGUUGUAGAUACUAGGCAUCUUAUGUCUGCCAGCGAUGCGGUUCAGCAUCUGAUGAGGCAGAAAAGCAAAGCACUUUCUUCAGCCUUCUCAUUAUUGUGCCCUGCAUUUCAUUCAACUGCUGGGGAAGCAUCUAUCCCGGCUCCUGUGAGAAUAGAAGUCGAGGCAGAUGAAACAACGUUAUCAUGCUUUGCUUCAGGUGCUAAGCAUGAGGCAGGGUAUGAUGCAUUCAUGACUGGAUGUGUUUUUGCGCAGUUGUGUGCCCAUAUUGGCGUCAAAUUUGAAGACUUCACACCUAAGGAGAACCUAGAGAUGAAUAAGAAGAUGAAGAAAUAUAUCAAUCUUCUGCCCCCUAGCUUUAACAGCGGAACAGUACUUGAUUUGCGUACUGGAAUGGAGAGAGCAGAUGCAUGUUAUAAGCUUAGAUAUCCUGCUGCUGUGCAUGAUAACAUUGUUCUCAUCUGGGGAUUCCAAUCUGGGCUGAGCGCAAAAGAUAUAAAGGGCUGCAUCUGCAAAGUGUUUGGCCCAGCUUCAGUAACGACCGUCUUCUCGAUCGAUUCCACUGCUGUUCUCAUUCAGUUCAGUAAACAAGAGUCUGUAAAUGAUUUCAUGGAUCUGAAGGCUACGUUGGAGAAGCAAGAUAGUGCUAUUUCACUCUUGCACCCUCUGUCAACUAUAUUAGAAGGAGGCCAAACACGAGCUGCAAACUAUGAUACCUACAGAGACAUCUGCAGCUCAUCUGUAACGAAGUAUUUCUUUGCUGAUCAAGCUAAUGCGGUCUGUUCGGCUUCAGAUACUGAGCUCAGAGGUGAGAACGUAGAUGCCGGUGAUGCACUGGGAACAAAUAGCGUUCUUGAUGAAACUGCGCAUACCUUGGUAAAGCAUGCAGAAGGAACCAAGCAUUGUUCCAAGAAGCAAGAUGCUACUGAUAUUUCAUGCCAAGACAUCUUGGAUGCGCUUCAAGAUGGUAAAACUUUAUUUGGUAAACAAACCAGGCGGACAUGA